CAGAAGAUAGUUUAAUUCAGAUUCUGGCUUUGGGAGCCAGGGGUGGGGAGUUAAAAUCUCCCUUUUUCUGG
Molecule: transfer RNA, 71 nt
Filed under: Sarcocheilichthys kiangsiensis
Lineage: Eukaryota; Metazoa; Chordata; Actinopteri; Cypriniformes; Gobionidae
Description: tRNA-Pro
Rfam family: tRNA
About the family: Transfer RNA (tRNA) molecules are approximately 80 nucleotides in length. Their secondary structure includes four short double-helical elements and three loops (D, anti-codon, and T loops).
Source: RNAcentral